This is a long non-coding RNA of Solanum dulcamara, 617 nucleotides long. RefSeq lists it as uncharacterized. NCBI's taxonomy places the organism in Eukaryota, Viridiplantae, Streptophyta, Magnoliopsida, Solanales, Solanaceae. The transcript is spliced from 3 exons. The record is from RefSeq and is a predicted model, not a curated record.
GGAAGAAAAAUAAAAUAAAAUUCAAGCUGCCGUCUCUGUUUCUUUACCAAAGAAGAAAGGAAAUUUUUUUAAAAGCUUUGAUUUGAAACUAAGGAGAGAAGCAGAAGAAGAUUGAUCGAAGGAAGUCCUACGGAUUGCUUGAGGUGACAAGCUUGGUAAUUCGACACGAGUAUUAGAGCACAGGUGACAUUGGCGAAGAAUUUGUUAACUAAAGCUAGCAAGUUGGCAAAUCCUUGGUGAGCCCACAUUGUUCGCGCGACAUCAAGUUAUUCAUUUUUAUGGACCUUUUUUGAACUCUUAGAGUUGCUCCAUAGUCAUUCCUUUAUUUGAGCGAAGUGAGAGGGUCUUUUGGCUUCCUCAGGACCGUGUAAAUCUUAGCUUGCUUUAGCAGCCAUCGCCUGGAAAGAGGCUAGCUAGCCUUUUUCUUUCCUUGCUCAUUAUCAGACAAUCACUUAUUCACAAACUUCGUGUGGCAAAAAUAGUUUUCAUUUCCCAUCUCAUGGAAAAUUCUUUUCUCUCCGCGAACAAAAGACAAAAAAAUGAAGAAAAAUAAUAAAGUUUAUUAUCAUAUAUAUCUUUCUCAUGCAGGAGAGCCCUUGGCACAACGAUCAGGUCAA